AUUGAACGCUGGCGGCAUGCCUAACACAUGCAAGUCGAGCGGAGCGUCGGACGGGUGAGUAAUGCCUAGGAAUCUGCCUCUUAGUGGGGGAUCACGUACGGCAACGGGCGCUAAUACCGCCUACUAUCAGAUAAGCCUUGGUCGGUAUAGCUAGUUGGUGGGGUAAUGGCCUACCAAGGCGACGAUCCGUAACUGGCCUGAGAGGAUGAUCAGAAACACUGGAACUUGGACACGGUCCAGAAUCCUACGGAGGGCGGCAGUGGGGAAUAUUGGACAAUGGGCGAAAGCCUGAGCCAGCCAUGCCGCGGGUGGGAAGAAGGUCUUCGGAUGGGAAAGCACUUUAAGUUGGGAGGCGUUACCAACAGAGUAAGCCCCGGCUAACUUCGUGCCAGCAGCCGCGGUAAUAC
RNAcentral lists this ribosomal RNA (407 nucleotides) under uncultured bacterium. Its description in RNAcentral is "partial 16S ribosomal RNA". It matches the Rfam family "Bacterial small subunit ribosomal RNA", at positions 30 to 526 of the family's 1533-position model. The record is from RNAcentral.